This 253-nucleotide ribosomal RNA is filed under the name uncultured bacterium. RNAcentral's name for it is "partial 16S ribosomal RNA". It matches the Rfam family "Bacterial small subunit ribosomal RNA", at positions 524 to 776 of the family's 1533-position model. The record is from RNAcentral.
UACGUAUGGGGCAAGCGUUAUCCGGAUUUACUGGGUGUAAAGGGAGCGUAGGCGGCAGGGCAAGCCUGAUGUGAAAGCCCGGGGCCCAACCCCGGGACUGCUCUUGGAACUGCAUGGCUGGAGUACAGGAGGGGCAGGCGGAAUUCCUAGUGUAGCGGUGAAAUGCAUAGAUAUCACGCAGAACUCCGAUUGCGAAGGCAGCAUACCGGCGCCCGACUGACGCUGAAGCACGAAAGCGUGGGUAUCGAACAGG